RNAcentral lists this long non-coding RNA (1530 nucleotides) under Marmota monax (woodchuck). Lineage: Eukaryota; Metazoa; Chordata; Mammalia; Rodentia; Sciuridae. The record is from RNAcentral.
UUUUUUCCAGUUAAAAAUAUGAACUGUCUUACUAGUGAUUUCAGAAGUUGGAUAUGGAAUACUAUAGAUUGGUUGUAUGGUUUCGGUAAUACGAGUAAGUAUUUUUUAAGCUGAAAUAGAUAAGAUUUAUAUAUAGGUAAGAAAUAUUGCCUUCUAAAUGUGAAGAGAGUUAACUCAUUUGGUGAAAUCUAACUUAAAAUUCUUAAAAAGCUUCAAAUAAGAUUUGUCAGAACCAUUGAACAAUGUAUUCUUUUUCUGCUGACAGUAUUUUUGUCAUCCAGAUUGUGAGUAUACAAAAUUAAGAUGGUAAGAAUAGCUGCCUUUUAGUGGUUUCUCUUUUGAAAAACACAUUGUGACUCAUUGGUACUCUUCAGAAUACAUGUUUUUCAUUGUAAUCUCUUAUUUUCAAAUUUAAAAUUAUUUUUGAAGAGUUGAGAUAUUCAAAUGGUUCAAAAUUCAAAAGAAAUUUAAUUGUUUAAAAUACCUAGAGAUAUUUUAAGCACUGGCAAGUGUGUGUGUAUAAUUAUUAUAUAUUUCCUUUACCUCCUUAAAAAUAGAAAUGGUAGCUUAUUAUAUAUAUUUCAAUGAAGAGAUGAGCUUUUAAUUUUUGUUUUGUACUUUGGAAUAAAAAGUUUUUAUAUGUUACGUAAUUCACAAUCUGUAUGAAAUGUGCCUCUGUCAUCUUUUUUUAGGACUGCCUGGUAUUCUGUUGAGUGUAGAUGUCCCCAUUUUUUUUUUUUUUGUACCAGGUAUUCAGCUUAGGGAAGCUUAACCACUGAGCCACUGCCUCAGCUUCCCAAGCUUCUGGGAUUACAGGCGUGUGCCACUGUUCUUGGCAUGUCUCCAUUUCCCACCCCUGCAACCAAUGGUUGGUGUUAGACUUCUGCUAGAUUGUUGCAUAAUAGUCUUCACUUCAUAAAAUAUCUCAGUGUUGAGAAUCAUUUGUUUCUCAUUCAGCCAGAAAUGUUAUAGAGUUAUAAAAAGAAUGAAGACGAAUGUUGGGGAGCUGAUUAAGGAAGUGUAGUCUUGAGGCACUUUCUAAUGAUGAAAGGUAAGGACUGGCAAGCGGUUAAGAAGAGUUGUUUGUAUGGAUAGGCAAGGCCUCCGGGAGGGUAGGACAUUAAACUAACUUGGAUGAAGAGGCUUCUGGGUAAAAAUCAGGGUCUUCUGGUGUGGGAAUACUGAACACAAGAGUCCCUGGAGAAGAAGUGAAUGAGGUCUACAGCAGAACUGGAUGGAGAACCCUUGUGGUUGGAAUUGAAGAAAGUGAGAGGAGACUGGCAGGCACCAGAGCACUACUGUGUCUGGAGUAAUUGAAACAGGUGAGUGAUAUGAUCUUCCUUAGAGUUUGAAAAUAUCUCUGUCUCUGCUAGGCAGUGGAAAUCAGGAGCUCAAGUAGAAGUUGUUGCUAAUUUAGACAAAAAAAUUACAGCUUGGACUGUGGUGGUAAUAAUGGAAAAGAGAGAACUAGAUUUGGGGUAUGUUUUAUAAGUAGAGCAGUUGGGAUUUGCUCAUAAGUUUUGGAUUUUG